This is a long non-coding RNA of Triticum dicoccoides, 2640 nucleotides long. RefSeq lists it as uncharacterized. The transcript is spliced from 2 exons. NCBI's taxonomy places the organism in Eukaryota, Viridiplantae, Streptophyta, Magnoliopsida, Poales, Poaceae. The record is from RefSeq and is a predicted model, not a curated record.
GGACUGAGUCCUUGUCGGCGCCGGAGAGGAGAUUGUGGGAGAGAGAGGAAUCCACUUUUGCCGGCGAUGAAAUCUCUAAUACAGCGCAUCAGCAGAUUUCCCCGAGUUCAGGAGGUGGGGGAGAGCUCAACUCCGACGGAUCUGACGGCGUAAGGGGCACCGGGCUCAGUUCGUGGGUCGGAUCAGUGGAUCACACGCCUGGAGCAGCCAUCAGCGGGGAUGCACAGAUCCGCGAGGGAAGAAAUAGGCCGGGCGGCGAGACGGGAGGGCUCGCUCUAGAUCUCCAAACUGUCCACCGGCAAGAUGAAUCUGCAAGCACCUGACUGGACUUAGUGGACUAAGAGGUGCGUUGCUGAAAACAAAUAAUCCUGAAUUUGUUGCAGAGAAAUGUCGUAAUGAUUCAUCUGGGUUCGCUUAGGGGGAUAGUCUCCAUAAAUUAAGACAUGGAUGAUACUCAACUUAUAUAAUUUGUCAGACGUCCAUGAGUACAAGAAAUUCCCUGAUGCAUAAACUGCAGUGCAACGCUAUAUCGUGUUUUACAAGUGGGCCUAGUAUUCUUCAUCAAAACUUAUUGUAGAAACUGCAGUGGUUCUCCUCUUGUGCCGGAAUCAUCGCUAUGUCACUUAUGUCAUUUUUGAGAUAUUAUUGUUUACAUUGAUGAGAUCCUUCGAUCAGUGCAUCCAGCUAGCUUUAGGAAAAUAAAUCCAAUAAGAAUACGAGGAUUGGAACCACUGUUUCCGUUCGGAAUUGUUAAUCGAACCAAUGAUGAAGCAAUCGCAUUUUAUGUUUAUAGUACCAACGUGGAUUUUAAUCGAAGGCAUCUUAGAUUAGAACGUAAUAUUUUCAUAGGAUUUCUUGCAGAAGUUUUUCUACACAAUUUAGAGAUCUUACAAAUUGUCUUUUGUGUAUUGAAUGCGUACUCGCUCCCUUGAACAGUUGUAGAAGUCACAUCAUUGCAAAUUCAAAUGCACUUGAUUCUUGUGAAUUAAGAAAGUCAUGGUAUCUAUAUUUUAUACUUUCUAUUUUUGUCUUCAUGCAUUCUAGAAUUCAUCAUUCCAAAAUUUAUGUUUCAUCUGGAAAUUUACUGAUGAAUUAAAUGCCAUGACGUGGUUAUAUAGUCCUAUAUGUGCAAAGUAUGUAUUCUUAUACUAGUAGUUUAGAUAGAUGAGAUUCUGGGUUUUACGACUGCCAACCGGCUUAAAAUAAUUGUGCUUGUAUUAGGGCUUAUUUUUUAACGGAUGCUGUGUUGUGCUAUGUGCGCAAACCAUGUGGUUUGAUAGGUUAAUUUAACUAAAUUUUGUACUGUGCCAACAUUUGGAAAAAUUUCAAGGUGAGGAUUGGAGCAGCGGCACCAAACAGGACAUCUGGGCACCUUGCCCCUCCCACGUGUCUGCCUUCGAGAAAGGGCCGAUGGGUUUUGCGGACAUCCAUUUUGAAAAUGCUAUUGUACCGACGCUUGGGACAAGUUUCGACUUGCUGGGAGAGACAUAGGAUUUCUACAACCUCUAUUCCUGGGAGAAAGGAUCUGCAAAUAAGAUAUGGGAAGAGGAGGUUGAAUGUGGAGAGAAUGAAAUGUGUACAAAAUUUGUGUGUGGAUGUUCGAUAAGUCAGAUUAUAUAUAGAUCUUUUACUGUUCAAUGGUUAAUUUUUUAGUAGGCUUAUCUCAUCACAACAAGAUGACCACAUUUUCAGGGUUCGUGUUGAGACAGUUUGAACAUGAGGUCUUGUUGGUAUGAGUGCCCUUGCGCUGGUGUUUUAGUUGGUGUUGAGACAGUUUGAAAGCUUUAAGUGGGUGUUUUCUGGUUUAGACAUAUGAUGGGUGGCACGGUACCUAAGACUAAAGCACCAGGUAAUGCAUAGGUUGAUUGGUAAUGUUUUGAAUUGAUUUCUUAAUAGGUGGUGAUUUGCAGGAAGCGGUUGUUCUGGUCACGAGCGUAGGUGAGCGUGGUAUCUCGAUAUUUUCGUUGCAUUGAAUUCCUUUGCCAGCUAGUGUCUUGUUGUUUUAUCUUCUUUCUUUCAUCACCCAACUAAUUUUCUUCUGUGCUCAAGCAUUCCCUGUUUUCGGAGGCUAAACAUGCUGUAGCUUAGGCUAAUAUGUUGUAGAUUAUUUUGUGCUCAACUUAUGAUUACGCCGCUGAAAUCCCUUGAGAACAUGCUCUAACUAUCAUUUAUCAUUCAUGCUUGUUAAUUCAGAUUUUCACUAUUAAUCGUAGCUCUUGAUUAUGUAGAUGUAAGCUCACAUUGUUUAAUCUCCCCUCGUUCGUUGAGUUCUGUUAUAUGUUUAAAUUGCAGGAAACAUGUUGGAAGGUCACAAGAAUAAAAGCAAUGAACCACUUCUCACCUGAUGUGUUUAGUCUUUCGUUUUGGUAUUUUGGAAUUUCUUGGAAUCAGGCUCUCCUCAGCUCAUGAUUUCAGGAUUUCAUUUUGUGAUUUUAUGAUUAUCGGAGUUCUUAAUUACUACUAGCUCAUAAGUUCAAUUCGGAAAUACGGUUGGCAUGAACAUAGAUUGAUGUUAAAUUUCAGAGAUGCACUGCCAGUUCAGCUUUUCGUGAUUGCGGAACUGGUCGAAAUAGUUGUAUUUAGCUCAUAGUUUUUCUACACAGAAAUGACCAUGUUUAUGACGAAGAAUGGUUGAUUCAA